GCAGUGCUGGUUCAGUGGUAGAAUUCUCGCCUUCUAAGCGGGACACAUGGGGUUGAUUCCCACCCAGGGCA
This 71-nucleotide transfer RNA is filed under the name Loxodonta africana (African savanna elephant). It matches the Rfam family "tRNA". Rfam says of the family: Transfer RNA (tRNA) molecules are approximately 80 nucleotides in length. Their secondary structure includes four short double-helical elements and three loops (D, anti-codon, and T loops). Further hydrogen bonds mediate the characteristic L-shaped molecular structure. tRNAs have two regions of fundamental functional importance: the anti-codon, which is responsible for specific mRNA codon recognition, and the 3' end, to which the tRNAs corresponding amino acid is attached (by aminoacyl-tRNA synthetases). tRNAs cope with the degeneracy of the genetic code in two manners: having more than one tRNA (with a specific anti-codon) for a particular amino acid; and 'wobble' base-pairing, i.e. permitting non-standard base-pairing at the 3rd anti-codon position. Lineage: Eukaryota; Metazoa; Chordata; Mammalia; Proboscidea; Elephantidae. The record is from Rfam by way of RNAcentral.